RNAcentral lists this ribosomal RNA (199 nucleotides) under uncultured bacterium. RNAcentral describes it as "partial 16S ribosomal RNA". It matches the Rfam family "Bacterial small subunit ribosomal RNA", at positions 1303 to 1500 of the family's 1533-position model. The record is from RNAcentral.
GUCUGCAACUCGACUACAUGAAGCUGGAAUCGCUAGUAAUCGCGAAUCAGAAUGUCGCGGUGAAUACGUUCCCGGGUCUUGUACACACCGCCCGUCACACCAUGGGAGUCAGUAACGCCCGAAGUCAGUGACCCAACCGAACAGGAGGGAGCUGCCGAAGGUGGGACCGAUAACUGGGGUGAAGUCGUAACAAGGUACC